UAAAAAGAAGUAAACAGGAAGUGACUUCUAAUAUCCCCCUGUUAUAAAAUAAACCUCUUCUGAGCCUAAAGUGGCUGCUGGUGGGCUAAAAACAUAGCCAAAUUCCCCCCUAUCCCCUUUGGGGGGCAUGGGGAGAAUGAUAUCUUUUGAGGGGAAUGUGGGGCAUCACCUUUCAAGGUCUCCUGGAAGAGCUAAUAUAGCCAACAACCUUUCAAUAAUCGUCCAACUCAUUUAUUCAGUGGGGGCAUAAAUCUAAUUCCUCUGCGCAUCCAAAAGAAAUGAGCUUUUUCCUUUAUAGUCCUGGAAGAGUUUACAAGAUUCUGGAACUUUCUUGUGCAAUGGGCAAAGUUUUGCAUGGAACAGGAGCUCCAAUUUGCAGACUGGAAAGAUUUUGCAUAGGAGAGGAAUUCUGGACAAACCAACUGACCUUGAAGGUGCUGCAGGGGGGACCCUGAUCCCUCUUCCGCGAAUGCCUCUUCCACGAGCCGAAUCCUCUGAACCAUUUAAAUAUGACAAUUCUCUCAGUUGCUCUUGACGGAUUUCAUCGU
Molecule: long non-coding RNA, 548 nt
Organism: Sceloporus undulatus (fence lizard)
Lineage: Eukaryota; Metazoa; Chordata; Lepidosauria; Squamata; Phrynosomatidae
Exons: 3
Source: RefSeq, a predicted model, not a curated record